Molecule: long non-coding RNA, 427 nt
Organism: Symphalangus syndactylus (siamang)
Lineage: Eukaryota; Metazoa; Chordata; Mammalia; Primates; Hylobatidae
Source: RefSeq, a predicted model, not a curated record
GGCUAGAUCUGGCAGGAGAUGAAGAUACUUAUACAGGUGAUUGCACAACAGCACCAUGGAUGCUCUGAGGAGGGUGCUAGAGGAGCACCCAGAUGGAAGCAGGAAAGGCUUCUCGGAGGAAGAGAUGUUGCAGCUGAGAGGUGAAGGGUGAUAACACACCAUACAUGCUCUUCAGCAUGUGGCUUCUUUCGCUUAACAAUAUGUCUGGGAGGCAGCUCCACCUCAGAGCAUAAAGAGCUCUCUUUGAAAAGGCCACAGAAUAUUCCAUUAGGUGGAUAUACAAGACUUAACCUGCCAUUGUCCAUGGGCACGAAGAAUGCAGAGGCUUCUUUGAUCUUUACAGUACGGCUCCCUUGCACAAUGACUGGCUCACAGCAGCACUCCGGAUGAACACGCCCUGCCGGGGGUAGAGCUGAUAACUGGGAGG